CAUUGCAAAUGGCAGGAUUUCUUUUCUUUUUAUGGCUGAAUAAUAUUCCUCUGUGUAUAUGUACCACUUCUUCUUUAUCCACUCAUCAGUUGAUGGACACUUAAGUUGCUUAUGUAUCUUAGCUGUUGCAAAUAGCACAGAGAUAAACAUAGGGGUGCAUAUGUCUUUUUGAAUCAGGGAUCUUGUUUUCUUUGGGUAAGUUCCUAGGAAUGGAAUGACUGGGUCAAAUGAUAUUUGUUUUAUUAGUUUUUGAAGAACCUUCAUAUUUCUUCCACAACAUUUGCACCAAUUUACAUUCCCACCAACAGUGUACGAGGAUUCUGCUUUCUACACAUCCUUUCCAGCAUGUGUUAUUUCUUAUCUUUGUCUUUUAGAUAAUCUCCACUUCUUUUUAUCUAUUUAUUGGAAAAGAUAUAAAACCCUUGGUAGCAAUAGCCACAGUCUAGUUCUUCAAGAUUCAAAUUUAUGACCAAGGAUUUUACAAUGAACCAAAGGAUUGUAAAGGUUACAAUUCCAGAGCCACCUUGAGAUGGUUGGAGGUAACUCUCAGGAGCUUGUGGAGCAGCCUAAUGAUCUGAGAUCCUGGCCCCAUGAUACAGUUCACACCGUCAGCUAGAGGCUCAUAGGUGUGGCCUGCUUGGGCUGCACAAAGUUCACAUACAUGUGCUCAGGAGUGGAACUUAACUCCUUUUGAGGUUUGAGGCUCUGUGAAAACCUGGUAGAAAACACAGCAGCACAAAAGUGAUUCCUUCUACCAAUGCCUUAUCUAGAAAGGCAUUUCUUUAUAGCUAAAAUUCUACCCAUUUCAGGGUGAGACCUAAAGACCAUCUUUUUGGUGAAUUAAUCUCUGUGUUUUUGCCUUAACUGCAGUACCAGGUCACCUUCACCCAUCCAGCUCAAGGUCAACCACAGAAGUCAGCUCCCAAAAGCCUGUGAUGAACCAAAGCUUAGAGAAGCUAAAGACCAAGUCUGAACACUGAGUUGCUGGGAUCUGAACACAGGCAGGCUAACAGCAAAGCCCAUGGACCCAUCCUCCCCACCGCCUCACCCAGCAAGAGGUGCCCCUCUGUGCUUGAGGAUUUCCUCAAAGGGAGAAGAGGACGUAACAAGAGUGGGGUCUGGAGGCAGAGGUCACUGGCCAGUGGUCUGUGAGGAGACGUCAGGGGACAAGAUACCAAGAGCAGCAGCCUACGUUCCCAGGGCCUGGUUCCCUGGGGCUUGGCCUGGUUGUCUGGAAGUCAUACUGCCCUCCCAGCCCUUGGACUUGACCCUGUCUGUACCAUGGAAUAAAGGAAGGCUGCUGCCCUUCUAACUAAAAA
This is a non-coding RNA of Manis javanica (Malayan pangolin), 1319 nucleotides long. The record is from RefSeq and is a predicted model, not a curated record. NCBI's taxonomy places the organism in Eukaryota, Metazoa, Chordata, Mammalia, Pholidota, Manidae.